Molecule: ribosomal RNA, 176 nt
Filed under: Cancer pagurus (edible crab)
Lineage: Eukaryota; Metazoa; Arthropoda; Malacostraca; Decapoda; Cancridae
Description: partial 16S ribosomal RNA
Source: RNAcentral
AUAAAGCUUUAUAUUAUUAACUAUAAUUUAAUUAAAUUAAUAAGAUUAAAGGUUUUUAAUAGGUUAUUAAUAUUUUAUUGGGGAGGAACAAGAAUAAUUUUUGUAACUGCUUAUAAGUUAGUACAGUGAUAGUUGGUUAAAAUUUCAAUGAUCCUUUAAAUAAAGAUACAAGGCUA